GCCCUCCUCCUGGCCCCCGCCCGUCUCCUCGGAGCUGGCCCGAGGGCGGGGCGCGCAAAACCCCUUGAGCGCGUCGUCCUGCACCGUCCUGGCCCAGGACUUUAGCUGCCGGAUCGCUCCGGAGCCGAGGACCUCCCCGCGCCCCCCGCCGUCUGGGCCUCCAGGGCCGCCAAGCGAGGGUUCACAGCUGCCCGCACAUCCCGGGUCUCCCCCGCCCCAUUCUAGCCGCCCAGUUUGCCCCCUUCGGGCGAAAGUGAGGAUAAGCUGACGCUUUCCCUCAACUUCUCUGGGAGAGAGAGCCGGAGCCCCACACACUGGCUUCAGUGUCCCAGAACACUCAGCAGGAGGAGAGAACGAUUUAAGAAACAAUUUGGUUCGAAAGGCCAUGGUGAAAAUCAGCCAUUUGUACAGCUGAGACGUGGUUGUGUUUAACCCAGAGGACCUCGCUUUCAGGGAAAAAAGAAAAAGAAGAAAAAAACCUGAUGCGGCCUUUCAGACAGCGCCAAUGAGAAGAAUGUGUGAUUGGAAGCCCCGAGAACCAGCACAGGUCUUUUAAAUAUUAGAGAGAGAGUGGCGUGGCCGGGAGGAUCCCUAGCCCACAGGAGUGAGUCUGGCAGCUCCUGAAGUUUGGGGUACUCAGAAUCGGGGGGGGGGGGGGUAAUGACACAAGACCUGAAAAGAUCAUCUCAGUCAUCUCCCACGCUGGAGGAUUUGAGGAUGCACAGUCUCUUCCAAAACCAGGGCCAGGAGGAGUGGGAGGAGCUUUCUCAAGGGAGAAGAAGCAUAAGGAGAGACAAGAGUCUCUCUCCACCCCACAUACUUCCCAUAAACCACAGUGUCAGGCUCUAAAAGUAUCCCUGAUGCUCUAAAGUCAACUGAGAAACCAGUUCCAGGGGUUAAAACUUGUCUGAGAUAACAACUAAAUUCUAUUUGAUUUCCCACUAUUGGUCAUCUGCUGGGAAUGAGGCAUAAGCCCAGCUCUGUCACAUGGAGGAAAAACAUGAUGCAAUUAACCAAGUUGCUAGUGCAUCAUCUCAUCCUGACCUCUGCCACCAGCCUCCAUCCAGGCCAUCCCCUGCAAUCCCACACAGCCAGCUGGGCCCCUGGGGGCCAUCCCAGCCCUCCUCCUGGGUUCCCUUCCCAGGUCCAACUGAGGAUCUUCGUGUGAAGCUCACCUCAGGUACCUAUGUCUGAAUCCCACCAGCAGUGCAAAGACCCUUCCUGGAGGGGAAAGCUCAAGAAACAUCUCAAGUGAAGGAAACUGCUACCUGAAAAUAAGGAGGUCCAGGGCAGAGGUGGAAGCCUCUGGUCCUUUUUCCCUGUUGCUGAGAGUGGCCUUGGAAACCCUCAGUAAUACUCUGUACACCCAGGAGGCCGUACACCCAGGGAGGCCAGAAGAGGUCGACAGAAAUAGUUUCCAUCAAAAAAAAAAAAAAAAAAAGAAAGAAAGAAAUAGUUUCCAUCUCAAUAUCCUGUGUUUUCCUUUCUCAGAAACCAGAGCAGCUCCACAGCCCAGGCCUGGAGGGGAAGCCAGAGGGAGUUUAUGCAGCAGGAGCCCUGGGCCGGCCCCGCCCGGCUGCCUGCCUGACUGAGGGCUGCCUCUGCAGUUGAGUCGUCCCCAUCCCCUGGGGGACUGUUUUCUCUAAUAAUCCUUUAAUAUUAGGAAAUAUCUGUCAGUGUUUACAAUUUCCUGAAUGUCUUCAAUUUGCUCCCUUUUUUGUGAUGUUUGUUUGAAUGAAGAAUCUAAAGAUCUGUACAUUGUCAUUGAUAGAUAUAUCUCUGAAAUCCUUUGUAGUUUAGUUUACCCUCUAAGUAAAUCCUCUCUCCACUUUUUUAAUGAAAAAAAAGUGUCCUUUUUAAUGAAAGCAAAGUAAGGUUGUUUAUGCUGCAGUUUCCCAAACCUGAAUUUUUAAAAUUAAAACACAGUAAAGUCCUUGAAGAACCCUCUCUUCCUUGUGUAGCCUGUAAACUGGCAAUUACAUCCAGAGGCCAGAUUCAGAUUUGAUUAUAAUUAAUAUCUCUCUCUCUCUCUCUCUCUCUCUCUCUCUCUCUCU
This 2054-nucleotide long non-coding RNA is filed under the name Heterocephalus glaber (naked mole-rat). RNAcentral describes it as "lncRNA (ENSHGLG00100040713.1)". The record is from RNAcentral. Lineage: Eukaryota; Metazoa; Chordata; Mammalia; Rodentia; Bathyergidae.